UCCUCUUUCUCUUCCAAAAUCAUUCCUCUUAUUCUUCCAAAACCGUUUCCAAAUUAAUUUCUCUUUCACACUCGGGUCUCUCCACCUUUCAAAACGAAUCUCCUUCCUCUCUCUCCAAGCCAAAACGGCGGCGCCUCCACUCUCCUCCGACGAACUGCUCGCCUUUUCCGUUCCGAUUCAUCUCCUUCUGCUUCAAUUCUGGUCCUAUUCAAAAAAUUUAUCACUGGAAGUAUGGCUUCACAAUACAAUGAGUAAGAAGAAAGAGCUUUUCAAACCAAAAAUUGAGUCGAAAGUUGGAAUGUAUGUUUAUGGAGUCACUGUUUACGAUUUCAGCCAUAUUGGGCAUGCUCCUGUUUACGUCAAUUUUGAUCUUCUUUAUAGAUGACAAGGUUUCAUAGGUUAAAACAAAUAUCAGUUUUCAAUUCGUUGAUUUUAUCAUCUAUGACGGCGAUUGAGGAAUUAACAGAGCAUCGACAGUACUCGCCGACGAAGAUAUCAAGAAACAACCAAUUCCCGAAGACCUUUAACUUUCCUCAAUGUUGUUGCUCUCGACAACAUCAGUGCUGGUAAAUCAACAGUUCCCGAAGACAUUCAACUUUCGUCAACAUUUUGCUCUCGACAACAUCAUAAGUCUUACCCAUUUCAUUUCUUGAUCAUUAUAGUUUCUAAUUUAUUAUGUUGGCGGUUAUAAUUUUGAUUUCAAUUUUGUAGAGUGAUGGUAAAUCGGCAGUUUUGAAUAGUUUAAUUGGACAUCGAGUUUUGGUAAGUCUGAUGAAAUAUCUAUAUAUUUUGAC
This is a long non-coding RNA of Vicia villosa (hairy vetch), 794 nucleotides long. RefSeq lists it as uncharacterized. The transcript has 3 exons. NCBI's taxonomy places the organism in Eukaryota, Viridiplantae, Streptophyta, Magnoliopsida, Fabales, Fabaceae. The record is from RefSeq and is a predicted model, not a curated record.